RNAcentral lists this unclassified non-coding RNA (246 nucleotides) under Sporoschismopsis angustata. RNAcentral's name for it is "partial contains 5.8S ribosomal RNA, internal transcribed spacer 2, and large subunit ribosomal RNA". Lineage: Eukaryota; Fungi; Ascomycota; Sordariomycetes; Glomerellales; Reticulascaceae. The record is from RNAcentral.
CGCACAUUGCGCCUGCUAGUAUUCUGGCAGGCAUGCCUGUUCGAGCGUCAUUUCAACCCUCAAGCUAUGCUUGGUGUUGGGGCCCUACGGUAACCCCCGUAGGCCCUGAAAACUAGUGGCGUGCCUGCUGUAACUCCGGGCGUAGUAAUUACUUUUCGCCUGAGAUGUUGCGGCUCGUUCUGCCGUUAAACCCCUCAAUUAUACAAGGUUGACCUCGGAUCAGGUAGGAAUACCCGCUGAACUUAA